Teleopsis dalmanni is the source of this 979-nucleotide long non-coding RNA. RefSeq lists it as uncharacterized. The transcript is spliced from 3 exons. NCBI's taxonomy places the organism in Eukaryota, Metazoa, Arthropoda, Insecta, Diptera, Diopsidae. The record is from RefSeq and is a predicted model, not a curated record.
UUAAGUGCCGGUGUUAGUGUUUUUUAUCGUGUAUUUAGUUAUUUAUAUAUAUAAUACAUUAUUUUUUAUUUAUUUAAAUAAAUUUACGGGGAUAAAUAAUGAAGAUUACUUCACGUGUUGUCGUUGCAUGCAUACUGGGGUGGGUUUCGGUAAGUUGCUUAUCAUUUAAUAUUAAAUAAAAAUUAACAAUUUCAGACAGAAGCAGUACAAUGUUAUUCAGGAAAUUGGUCUCUAAUAUAUUACAAUAAAAAUAAGUUUUAAUAUAAAAAAUAAAUAAAAAAUUCCGGAGGGAUUUAUUGAAAUCUACGAAAACUUACCUUCGCUGUAGAAAAUUAAAGAUAACGAUUACCAUAAAAGAAGUUUAAAAAUUGAAGGGAAAUUAAAAGAAAUUUACCCCGAUGCAAAUAUUGAACUGGUAAAAAGGAAAAUUAAUAACUUGCAAAGUGGUUAUCGGAGAGAGUUGAAAAACACAAAGCGAGAGGUCUGGCGCAAGUGUGUUGUCAUCCCUCUGAUAUUUUGACGAUUUGGGAUUUGCAAAAGAUCAAGAGUCUCCAUUUGCAGCAGUGACGUCAGUUUAUGAAGUGUUAGACGAAAGUUUUAUAGAGGAACAGUCGGGUCUUAGCCGUUAAAAACGACAACAACAAGAGGAUGCGACAAAUUUAAGGUUGGGCAACACAAUUUCGUAAGUUGAAUUCCAACCAAAAAAUUUAUGCUAAUAAGAUGAUAAAUGAAGUGCUCUACCAGGGAUUUGGAUUUGUACUCUUAUAAAGUUAUAUGAGCUUGCGGAACAUCAUUUAUCACAAUCAUUUUCGCCAAGCUUUGCAUCUUCAUCAAUUAAUGCUCCAUCACCUCCUUUUUUUACUUCACAAAAGCAACAUCAAACAUCUAUUUACCAUCUAUAUCUCCUGUUCACCCAUCGCUAUAUAUUGGUGUAUAAAAACAACAGAAGUACUGUAGCGUUUAAAAUCUCUUGAUAGAU